CAUGAUGUCUGCUGGGAUGAGA
Molecule: microRNA, 22 nt
Filed under: Eisenia fetida (common brandling worm)
Lineage: Eukaryota; Metazoa; Annelida; Clitellata; Crassiclitellata; Lumbricidae
Description: Efe-Mir-216-P2c_3p* (star (passenger))
Source: RNAcentral